Molecule: ribosomal RNA, 440 nt
Filed under: uncultured bacterium
Lineage: Bacteria
Description: bacterial SSU rRNA
Rfam family: Bacterial small subunit ribosomal RNA
Source: RNAcentral
AUGCAAGUCGAACGGUAACAUUUCUAGCUUGCUAGAAGAUGACGAGUGGCGGACGGGUGAGUAAUGCUUGGGAACUUGCCUUUGCGAGGGGGAUAACAGUUGGAAACGACUGCUAAUACCGCAUAAUGUCUUCGGACCAAACGGGGCUUCGGCUCCGGCGCAAAGAGAGGCCCAAGUGAGAUUAGCUAGUUGGUAAGGUAACGGCUUACCAAGGCGACGAUCUCUAGCUGUUCUGAGAGGAAGAUCAGCCACACUGGGACUGAGACACGGCCCAGACUCCUACGGGAGGCAGCAGUGGGGAAUAUUGCACAAUGGGGGAAACCCUGAUGCAGCCAUGCCGCGUGUGUGAAGAAGGCCUUCGGGUUGUAAAGCACUUUCAGUUGUGAGGAAAAGUUAGUAGUUAAUACCUGCUAGCCGUGACGUUAACAACAGAAGAAGCA